Molecule: long non-coding RNA, 614 nt
Organism: Canis lupus familiaris (dog)
Lineage: Eukaryota; Metazoa; Chordata; Mammalia; Carnivora; Canidae
Exons: 2
Source: RefSeq, a predicted model, not a curated record
GGGAGGGGGGGCAGGCCCCUGGGUGUAGACUGCUAACUUCUCGCCCCAUCUGUCUGGAAAGUGACAUACUGUCAGCUGGAGGAUGAUAGAGUAUCAUUGUGGCUCCUAAAAAAAAACCAGAAGGACCACUGACUGGAACCACCAGAAAUCUAGACCCUUGCGAAAAAGUCACAGGAUCCCUCCAUCAAGCCUCCUCACCUCUCUGACCUCUGAAUGAGGAUUAACAAACGGAGUCUGGAGAACAUGCAGAAGAAGAAAAGACUGAUGAGAAUUCUUACUUAUUUGGGAUCCGAUUACAAAACACUCAGCCCCCCCACCCCCUUUUUCCCCCAGCUCUGAAGUAGUCCUUCCUUCAUUAGCAUCCAUAACUGGUUGCAAAAUGUAAAACACUAAACUAAGACAGAGUAUCAACAUAGUUUCAGAAAAUGGAAUUGUUAUUUUACAAGCUGACAACUCCCAGCCCCUAAAAAUCUCCCUCAUUAGUUGAAGGUAGUAAAGAGGCUGCAAAAGAACAAAGAGAAUGUGAAUAGAGGAGAAAGUACAGGUGUGAAGGGCUGUCUUCCCAAAUCCCAGUCUACAGGACAUCUGGAAAGUAAAGGGGAAAAAAAAAAUCU